UACGUAGGGGGCGAGCGUUGCCCGGAUUCAUUGGGCGUAAAGGGCGCGUAGGCGGUCACGGUGCGUCCCGCGUGAAAUCUCCCGGCUCACCUGGGGGACUGCGCUUGAGACGUGUGGGCUUGAGUGGGGAAGAGGGUCGUGGAAUUCCCAGUGUAGAGGUGAAAUUCGUAGAUAUUGGGAAGAACACCGGUGGCGAAGGCGGCGACCUGGUCCUUGACUGACGCUGAGGCGCGAAAGCGUGGGGAGCAAACAGG
RNAcentral lists this ribosomal RNA (254 nucleotides) under uncultured bacterium. Its description in RNAcentral is "partial 16S ribosomal RNA". It matches the Rfam family "Bacterial small subunit ribosomal RNA", at positions 524 to 776 of the family's 1533-position model. The record is from RNAcentral.